RNAcentral lists this ribosomal RNA (254 nucleotides) under uncultured Singulisphaera sp. RNAcentral describes it as "partial 16S ribosomal RNA". It matches the Rfam family "Bacterial small subunit ribosomal RNA", at positions 524 to 776 of the family's 1533-position model. The record is from RNAcentral. Lineage: Bacteria; Pseudomonadati; Planctomycetota; Planctomycetia; Isosphaerales; Isosphaeraceae.
GACGAACCGUGCGAACGUUAUUCGGAAUCACUGGGCUUAAAGCGCGUGUAGGCGGCCCGGCACGUCCGUCGCUGAAAGCCCCCGGCUCAACCGGGAAAGUGGCGGGAAUACGACCAAGCUGGAGGGGGGUAGGGGGCGCCGGAACUGCCGGUGGAGCGGUGAAAUGCGUUGAGAUCGGCAAAAACGCCCGUGGCGAAAGCGAGCGCCUGGACCCCACCUGACGCUGAGACGCGAAAGCCAGGGGAGCGAACGGG